CGGAGGGUGCGAGCGUUGUCCGGAAUCACUGGGCGUAAAGGGCGCGUAGGUGGCGCGAGUAGUCAACGGUGAAAGCCCGGGGCUCAACCCCGGGUCGGCCGUCGAUACUCUCGUGCUUGAGCACUGUAGAGGCAGGUGGAAUUCCGGGUGUAGCGGUGGAAUGCGUAGAGAUCCGGAAGAACACCGGUGGCGAAGGCGGCCUGCUGGGCAGUAGCUGACACUGAGGCGCGACAGCGUGGGGAGCAAACAGGAUUAGAUACCCUGGUAGUCCACGCCGUAAACGAUGGGCACUAGAUGCUUGGGGGAGCGACCCUCUGAGUGUCGUCGCUAACGCAUUAAGUGCCCCGCCUGGGGAGUACGGCCGCAAGGCUG
This 372-nucleotide ribosomal RNA is filed under the name uncultured organism. Its description in RNAcentral is "bacterial SSU rRNA". It matches the Rfam family "Bacterial small subunit ribosomal RNA", at positions 526 to 896 of the family's 1533-position model. The record is from RNAcentral.